Molecule: ribosomal RNA, 207 nt
Filed under: uncultured bacterium
Lineage: Bacteria
Description: partial 16S ribosomal RNA
Rfam family: Bacterial small subunit ribosomal RNA
Source: RNAcentral
CCAGUAGGCGGCCAACUAAGUCGGAUGUGAAAUCCCCAGGCUCAACUUGGGAACUGCAUCCGAUACUGGAUGGCUUGAAUUCGGGAGAGGGAUGCAGAAUUCCAGGUGUAGCGGUGAAAUGCGUAGAUAUCUGGAGGAAUACCGGUGGCGAAGGCGGCAUCCUGGACCGACAUUGACGCUGAACGGCGAAAGCUAGGGGAGCAAACG